Long non-coding RNA from Cloeon dipterum, 1467 nucleotides. RefSeq lists it as uncharacterized. The record is from RefSeq and is a predicted model, not a curated record. NCBI's taxonomy places the organism in Eukaryota, Metazoa, Arthropoda, Insecta, Ephemeroptera, Baetidae. The transcript has 6 exons.
CUUGGGUUUAUUCUUUCUCGGGGUUUGGAAUCGAGGUGCAUGAGAAGAGUGUAGAUAAAUGCACUGUUUCAAAAUGCUGCUUCUGCAGCUCCCGCUAUUGCUCUUGUUUUUCAGCAUAGCACAAGGUGAUUUGAUUUCCAUCAAACGAGGAAAUGAGACUGCAGCGUGCAUAACUUCCAACGUCGAAUCUGCUGUAGCAUUUGUGAAAACGCCGGAUGCCACACAUGAUUUCACCAAAGUGGAGUACUUGGACGACAAAGGAAAGCCUUUAUUGAUGAGUCAGUAUGACUGUGAUUUGGUCGAGGAUGCUUCUUGCAACAAAUGGAACAAGAAAAAAGAUGGCAAGAUAACAUGGGUGACAAGCAGACCCACGGAUGGCUUUAUCACAGAUUACCGCUGGAAUGAACUACCCAUACUACGCAGAAACAAAUUAAUAAAAUUCACGAAAGUAGGCGUACCUUUCCAUUAUUCCAUUCUGUCAAAAAACAAGGUUAAAAUAGAGGUCUCAGAUGGUAGAGUGAAUGGAGAAACUAUUAAAGCAGUUAUCCAUCGCUGCGAAAAGAAAAAUUCGCCGCUUAUCCAAAUUUCCGAUGUGGAUGGAACCUUGGUGAAUGCUAUAGACGAGGUUUCUAUCGUUUAAAUUACAAAAUAGAUUUUUGAUUAAAAUAUAAGUUUUCAGAAGAAAAAUGUUCUUCACGAUUGUGGAACGUGGAUUCACCUAACAAUUAUGACCGGCCGCGCAAACAAUGCAUUAAGGAUCGUGGAAAAUGAAAAUCGACUUAUCAUAGCAUUCAGAGGGUUUGAGUACCAUACAUUUUCCCACCAAAACAUAACGUUUUGCUAUAUCAGCUGUUUAAAUAGCUUUUAUUUUGGCUCCCGUCUAACUCAAUAUUCCUCUUGGAAAAAAUUUAAGUUUAAAUUUUUCCAUUUAUGUGCCUAUGAAAAAAUGCACACGCUGAAAUUUAGCUUAUUUUUGCAGAUUGAAGCAUGGUUGCGGAAAUUUAAGUUGUUCAAUCGCUUUCGGGGAUGAUAAGAAACUGCUGGUGAAAAUCCAUAAAUUCAGUUAUCUUUACUCGCGCUCUAAUAAUGAAGCGAUGACGUUGGAAGCAAGUAAAAAUACAGUUGGAUUUUGCAUUGACGUUGUUUUUUACUUUGGACCAAUGGCCACUGGAACGAUAUUUAACUUAGCAAUUACGCAAGGAGAUAAGGUGGUGCAAACCUUUACCCAGGGUGCUUACACAAAAAAUAAAUGGGUCACGAGGAGGUUUGCAAACGAAAAUUUGACACUAAACGCACCUUGGAAACUGAAGGUAACGGCCGAAACACCAAAAAUUUAUAUUGGCGGAAUCAAAUUUUGCGCUGGAGGUGAUUACAACAUCAUAAAACCCAAGGGGAACCACAUGGAAAGCUGCCAUUUGUUGGCGGAGAAUGAUCCUGUGCCAACAACGGUGGAAAAAUUGACAAAAG